This 134-nucleotide long non-coding RNA is filed under the name Felis catus (domestic cat). RNAcentral's name for it is "lncRNA (ENSFCAG00000047824.1)". The record is from RNAcentral. Lineage: Eukaryota; Metazoa; Chordata; Mammalia; Carnivora; Felidae.
CAGAAGCUGUGCCCUCCCCCUUCCUGAGCCUUCAAGGGUGAAGCUAAAGUAAGCAGAGCCAACAGUGGCUGAGGGAAGAGCUUCUAGAAUCAGGAGUAGCACCUUCCUGGCCAUCUACAACCCAGAGUCAGAGA